CCAGCACUGUGGCAAGGAUCAUGAGGACUAACCCUGCUAUCUUCUCAAUAAUACUUAUCGCAUAUGUAGGAGUACCCAACAUUACGCAAGAGAAUGCACGCAGAAUCAAAACAAGACCAGACCUCCUGCUUAGGAUAGAGCUUACAACCUAACUCAGUAGGAUGCUGAAGGCAACUCCGAUGUGAUAUAGGAAACGUACAUUAUCUAUAAUUACUUUGUAUAUAUUUUGAUUGAUACUAGUGCUUCCAAUUUAUUUGUCUCACACACUUUUAUACAAAGCUUAAAUGUAUGACCAGAAAGACUUGAUUUUAUGUUAUUUGU
RNAcentral lists this long non-coding RNA (321 nucleotides) under Carica papaya (papaya). Its description in RNAcentral is "long non-coding RNA (CPAP_LNC010380)". Lineage: Eukaryota; Viridiplantae; Streptophyta; Magnoliopsida; Brassicales; Caricaceae. The record is from RNAcentral.